Molecule: ribosomal RNA, 497 nt
Filed under: uncultured bacterium
Lineage: Bacteria
Description: partial 16S ribosomal RNA
Rfam family: Bacterial small subunit ribosomal RNA
Source: RNAcentral
GAUGAACGCUGGCGGCGUGCCUAAUACAUGCAAGUCGAGCGAACAGACGAGGAUCUUUCUCCUCUGACGUUAGCGUCGGACGGGUGAGUAACACGUGGAUAACCUACCUAUAUGACUUGGAUCACUUCGGGAAACCGGAGCUAAUAAUGGCUAAUAUUAUCAACUACAUGGAUCACUCGUCAAAGACGGUUUUGCUGUCCCUCAUUGAUGUGUCAGCGCCGCAUUACCUAGUUGGUAAGUGAACGGCUUACGAAGGCACCGAUGGGUAGCCGGUCUCAGAGGGUGAUUGACCAGCCUGGAAGUGAGAGACGGUCGAGACACCGACGGGAGGCAGCAGUAGGGAAUCUUCCGCAAGGGAGGAGAGCUUGACGGAGCAACGCCGGGUGAGUGAUGAUGGUCUUCGGAUCGGAGAACGCUGUUAUUAGGGAGGAAGAAAUGUGUAAGUAACUAUGAACAUCUUGACGGUACCUAAUCAGAAAGCAACGGCUAACUACGUG